GGAGCAAACAGGAUUAGAUACCCUGGUAGUCCACGCCCUAAACUAUGUCAACUAGUUGUCGGGUCUUAUUAGACUUGGUAACGUAGCUAACGCGUGAAGUUGACCGCCUGGGGAGUACGGUCGCAAGAUUAAAACUCAAAGGAAUUGACGGGGACCCGCACAAGCGGUGGAUUAUGUGGAUUAAUUCGAUGCAACGCGAAAAACCUUACCUACCCUUGACAUGUCAGAAAAUUUUCAGAGAUGAAUUUGUGCCCGAAAGGGAAUCUGAACACAGGUGCUGCAUGGCUGUCGUCAGCUCGUGUCGUGAGAUGUUGGGUUAAGUCCCGCAACGAGCGCAACCCUUGUCAUUAAUUGCCAUCAUUUAGUUGGGCACUUUAAUGAGACUGCCGGUGAUAAACCGGAGGAAGGUGGGGAUGACGUCAAGUCCUCAUGGCCCUUAUGGGUAGGGCUUCACACGUAAUACAAUGGCGCGUACAGAGGGUUGCCAACCCGCGAGGGGAGCUAAUCUCAGAAAGCGCGUCGUAGUCCGGAUCGGAGU
RNAcentral lists this ribosomal RNA (538 nucleotides) under uncultured bacterium. Its description in RNAcentral is "bacterial SSU rRNA". It matches the Rfam family "Bacterial small subunit ribosomal RNA", at positions 765 to 1304 of the family's 1533-position model. The record is from RNAcentral.